This 680-nucleotide unclassified non-coding RNA is filed under the name Hevea brasiliensis (rubber tree). Lineage: Eukaryota; Viridiplantae; Streptophyta; Magnoliopsida; Malpighiales; Euphorbiaceae. The record is from RNAcentral.
GUGCAGCCAGUUUAGAAUCAGGAAAUUUGCUCAAAAGAGAAGCUCCUUCAGGAUCAAGGACUCUAUCCGAGUCCAAACCAAGGGAUGUUAUCAGGCAAAAUAAAGCUCUCAAUGGAGAUUUUCUCACGUUGGCUCCUCCUACAGCCGCUUCUCCAUAUCAGCAUUCAUCUAAUUCAAACCUUCAGAGUCUAGAGAGAUUUAGAUUGGAAUCAGUGACUUGUCAGGGAGUUGCUGAAGAACCUACUACAACAAGCUCAGCCCUAAGCAAAUCAGUUCAACAAUCCAUCUAUGGAUUCUUCCCAACUGCCAAGGUACAAAUCAGCCAAGAAGGAACAAACAAACGCAAUUGCCAUGUUGAAGUAGGAGGAAACAUUGAUCUCAAUCUGAAGCUGUAGAAGUUAGUCAUUACACAUGGUUGUGCUUCUUCCGGGAGAAUUUCUGCUCUUCGUAGGAUGGCUAGUUCAAGUCCUAAGGUGUUAGUUUCUGCAGGGCUUUCAUUCCACUCUGUGGUAGAACAACGUUUCUUCUGAUGUAUGUCUUUACUCACAUGUAAAAUAUGCCUCAUACCAGAGGGUUGGAUUAACCUCCGGACUCUGCGUCCAUGAUGGGAUGACGAAUGAGAUUUUGAUUGGAAUUUUCAACUAGGAUGUCUGGAUUCAGGUCUUUCUGGUACCUUAACU